AGGGUUUGAUUCUGGCUCAGGAUGAACGCUGGCGGCGUGCCUAACACAUGCAAGUCGAGCGAUGAAACCGCCCUCGGGCGGACAUGAAGCGGCGAACGGGUGAGUAACACGUGACCGACCUGCCCCCCGCCCAGGGACAGCCCCCCGAAAGGGGGAUUAAUACCUGGUACUCCCGGGAAGGCGCAUGCCUUCCCGGGGAAAGCUUUCGCGGCGGGGGAUGGGGUCGCGGCCCAUCAGGUAGACGGCGGGGCAGAGGCCCACCGUGCCGACGACGGGUAGCCGGGUUGAGAGACCGACCGGCCACAUUGGGACUGAGAUACGGCCCAG
RNAcentral lists this ribosomal RNA (327 nucleotides) under uncultured bacterium. RNAcentral's name for it is "bacterial SSU rRNA". It matches the Rfam family "Bacterial small subunit ribosomal RNA", at positions 8 to 334 of the family's 1533-position model. The record is from RNAcentral.